AGUGAACGCUGGCGGUAGGCCUAACACAUGCAAGUCGAACGACAGCACAGAGGAGCUUGCUCCUUGGGUGGCGAGUGGCGGACGGGUGAGGAAUACAUCGGAAUCUACUCUGUCGUGGGGGAUAACGUAGGGAAACUUACGCUAAUACCGCAUACGACCUACGGGUGAAAGCAGGGGAUCUUCGGACCUUGCGCGAUUGAAUGAGCCGAUGUCGGAUUAGCUAGUUGGCGGGGUAAAGGCCCACCAAGGCGACGAUCCGUAGCUGGUCUGGGAGGAUGAUCAGCCACAGUGGAACUGGGACACGGUCCAGACUCCUACGGGAGUCAGCAGUGGGGAAUAUUGGACAAUGGGCGCGAGCCUGAUCCAGCCAUACCGCGUGGGUGAAGAAGGCCUUCGGGUUGUAAAGCCCUUUUGUUGGGAAAGAAAUCCAGCCGGCUAAUACCCGGUUGGGAUGACGGUACCCAAAGAAUAAGCACCGGCUAACUUCGUGCCAGCCGCCGCGGUAA
RNAcentral lists this ribosomal RNA (506 nucleotides) under uncultured bacterium. RNAcentral's name for it is "partial 16S ribosomal RNA". It matches the Rfam family "Bacterial small subunit ribosomal RNA", at positions 29 to 523 of the family's 1533-position model. The record is from RNAcentral.